GAUGAACGCUGGCGGCGUGCCUAAUACAUGCAAGUCGAGCGAACAGACGAGGAGCUUGCUCCUCUGACGUUAGCGGCGGACGGGUGAGUAACACGUGGAUAACCUACCUAUAAGACUGGGAUAACUUCGGGAAACCGGAGCUAAUACCGGAUAAUAUAUUGAACCGCAUGGUUCAAUAGUGAAAGACGGUUUUGCUGUCACUUAUAGAUGGAUCCGCGCCGCAUUAGCUAGUUGGUAAGGUAACGGCUUACCAAGGCAACGAUGCGUAGCCGACCUGAGAGGGUGAUCGGCCACACUGGAACUGAGACACGGUCCAGACUCCUACGGGAGGCAGCAGUAGGGAAUCUUCCGCAAAGGGCGUAAGCCUGACGGAGCAACGCCGCGUGAGUGAUGAAGGUCUUCGGAUCGUAAAACUCUGUUAUUAGGGAAGAACAAAUGUGUAAGUAACUAUGCACGUCUUGACGGUACCUAAUCAGAAAGCCACGGCUAACUACGUG
Molecule: ribosomal RNA, 497 nt
Filed under: uncultured bacterium
Lineage: Bacteria
Description: partial 16S ribosomal RNA
Rfam family: Bacterial small subunit ribosomal RNA
Source: RNAcentral